CAUGAACUUGAUAAUGAGGCCCUUGCAUUCAAGCCAGUUCUUGGUCCCAUGCUUGCACGAGUGUAUCACAAUCCUCAAAAUAAGGAUGGAAAUCAGCCACGGUUACAGAAAAUUCUGCAGUUCUGGGCUUCCAAGGAAGUUUAUGAUCAAGAAAAUAUUUAUGUACUUAAAGUUGAGAUGGUGGGUGGACUACCAGCAAAUUCUUUUCCUGGGCCUCCAAAAGAAUUAACUAAUGCUUCAGCGGAUUCCUUGGCUGCUACAGGCUUUACAUAUGAACCAACAAACUAUAAUGCUCCACAAUGGCAGCCUGAUAGGCAAAGUGUAGCAGAACAGGAUCAUCAUGAUAAACAAGUGGCCUUAGCUAUUCCACAAUCCCUAGGAAACCAACAAUUUAUGCCAAAUUCAGUCCCUGCUGGAACUUUUCCAGGGUCCUUGCCAGUAAAUUCUUCCGUUCAACCAGCCAAUCAACAGCCUGCACCACAUUUGCAGACACCUCCUGCUAAUGCUGGUAAAAAGUUACCGCCAUAUCCAUUGUUCCCGCCUGGUCUUAUUCCUGGCAUGGUUAAAAAGAUGCAGAUUGGCAGCGGGGUUCCCUACUCUCCUUUGAGUCCUUUGGACAUCCCAACAGUUAUACCCCCAUCUAGCGUAUCCCCAUCAGAAAUUUUAGAGAGAGUGUCAAAAUUCUUUAAAGAGAUUGGAGAGAUUAACCCAUUUGAGGGAGUUAUAAAGUCUCAUUCGAAAGAUGAGGAGGAUGAGCAUGAGAGAGAUACUCCCAUUCGUAAAGGAGGAGCUUGCAUCCCUCCACCCCCUAACUUACAUGUUGACCCAGAGACUGGGGCUUACGCUGAUGGGAGUGUGGAGCGGAAACCAGGAUCUACGGGCACGGGAAGGUUGGGGCUUGGGGCAGUGGCUGACCCUAAUGAGGCAAGUCAAUACGAUGAUGUUUACAAAUCUUAUAGGAAACAACGAAGCACUAACUACCAUUCAUCCAUGAGUGCAAGAGCUGCUACGAGGUAAAAUCUCUUGCCAUGUUCUCACCAUUUAGUUGUCAAGUGGAAAAAUGCAGCACCAAAACAACUGCUUUUCGCCCAGCUUUGAUUGAACUUUUUCUGGACUCUGUAAAUGACAACUUGGAUAUGUAGCAGUAAACUUGGAUAUCAUGCGAGUUGAACUUUUGAUUUAGGAUAACGCUAUUUGCGAGCAUUGGAGCAAGGGUGUUGUAAUCAUUUAAAACCAGACCCCCGGGUGGAAAGGUCAAGAUAAUUAGUGUAGGGUUCCUGGUCAUCAUUUUAUUUGUCAUGGACUUUCUAUCGCAGACAACCAAUGGAGCACCCAAAGACUUUUUAGAGCAAUCUUGCAAUUGCUUUUAUUUAAUUGUACUAAAUAGCUUUCAUAUCCAAACUAUUUAAUUUAAAAUGGC
RNAcentral lists this unclassified non-coding RNA (1420 nucleotides) under Hevea brasiliensis (rubber tree). Lineage: Eukaryota; Viridiplantae; Streptophyta; Magnoliopsida; Malpighiales; Euphorbiaceae. The record is from RNAcentral.